UGAAAUUUGAUUUCUAAAUACUUCAAAUGCUCUAGAUUAUAUUUAGUGAUAUGGAUCGUCAAUUCAUAAACUCCAUGAUCGAAAACAAAUUAUAAGUACGAAAAUCUCUAUACUCAUAAGACUAUAAUAGUCCCCUCUCUCUCUCUCUCUCUCCCUCUCCCCAUCUUUUCUGUCUCUCUUUAUAGAGUUCGGCUAUGGUGCUUUUGAUACUUUUAAGUUUAUCACGGUUAGAUCUUAUCCCUUUGACCAAUUUCACUCCUUAAAUUAUAUUAUUCUACUAACCAUCCACUUAACCCUAGGGGACCAUUAUCAUCCUAAGCGCACAACCCUUCAUCUAAGGGCCAAAAACAUACAAGC
RNAcentral lists this long non-coding RNA (357 nucleotides) under Ananas comosus (pineapple). RNAcentral describes it as "long non-coding RNA (ACOM_LNC001188)". Lineage: Eukaryota; Viridiplantae; Streptophyta; Magnoliopsida; Poales; Bromeliaceae. The record is from RNAcentral.